Molecule: long non-coding RNA, 1937 nt
Organism: Rhineura floridana
Lineage: Eukaryota; Metazoa; Chordata; Lepidosauria; Squamata; Rhineuridae
Exons: 4
Source: RefSeq, a predicted model, not a curated record
AGAGUGAAACAGCUGAUUUGAGAUUUUACAAAAGGGCAGCAAAUUGUUAGUUGUUUAAUUUAUCUUUAUUGUAUUUUUUAUUCCCAGGGAGAGGCACUUGUGGGAUUUUCUGCCUCAGCUGCCAAGAAUGAUGCACCUUGAGUUGUAAUCUUGUGACGUACCUCCUAGGGAGCACUGGCCGAAGUUGUGUCCACAAAGUGAUUGGCUCUUCUGAUAUGACAAAGCAGUCUGUGUCCUGAACUGUCCCAGCUCUUGCUGUUGCCAGAGUGCCCUAAAACCUAAGGUGUAAGAUGAACUGCAGCAGAACGGAAACAGUAUACAGGGCAGAGUGGAAAGCAACGCCUCCUUACAUCCCAUGGCGGUCGUACUGCUUCCCUUCCAAUCAGCACAUAUCCUGUGACUCCUUGCUGAAAUACCUUAACUUUUCAUACCGUAAAUGUUCUGACUUUACCUUUAAAAGACAGAGCUCUGGGAUAUUCUCUUCCUUCAUCAUCCAACAUCCUCCCUGUUAGGAUGGUAAUGCUGUACAUAAAGGAUCACGGGUGCAAUUUAUGCAUUUUUUUGGCAGUGUAAUUUUAUUUAUUUAAAUAUUAUACAUCCGUUAUGAACCGCUAAAUAUUUUUUAAAAUCUCUAAGUGGUGUGCAAUAUAAAAAAAAAUGUCAUUAAAACAAAAAUGCAGCAUAAAGCCAACAAAAUAGUAGUAUGAAACAUAUGAAAAUAAAUAAAACAGGAAGCCAAGGAAUACAGAUAUAUAAAACAGGGUCUAAUCUUAUGGAUCAGGGAAAGCUGGGCAAAAAGAGAAGUCUUCACAAGAGGUCUGAAGCAACGGGUGGUUGUGCUUCAUGCAUGGCAGAGGGCAUUCCCUAUGGUACAGGAGCAACAGCAGAAAAUGUUGCUGAUGCAACAUUGCUUCCACACCGCACUAGAAGUAUACGGAUGCGUAGCAGGCUUGUUUAUAUGGGGGGCAGCAGCAGCAGCAGCCUCAGUGGAUCACUGCACAAAAAUGGGGGGAACUAAUGUGAUUUAGCCAACUCUUUAUUACAUAUUACAUUUUCAUAUUGCCAUUCUAGGAGUUCAAGUCAGUAUACAGAGCCGUCAUACCAGCAUUUGCCAGGGGCUAUUUUCCUUCCACUCACGGUUCAUUGAAUCCAGCCCCCCAAAAACAAAAAUAAUGAAUGUUAAUGUCUACUGGAUCACCCCAAGCUAUGUUCUAUAAUAUAUGAGCCCUGUUGUUUUUGAACUCUCAGGGUGUAUAAAACAGCUGCUUUUUCAAAGCCCUUAAUUUCCCUCAAGUCCAACGGUCCUAUGUUAAAUAUUAACAGCUGUGAAACAAAAUUCAACAGGCAUGAGGGAUGAAUCAGCAUUUGCUGCAGAGGCAAGGCCAAAGUCUUGGCAAAAGAAGAGAAGAUUGGUGGAAAGCAGGAUCAGCAGAGCUUGUGCUGGGCAACUUCGGGAGGAAGAGCAGGAUAUAAAUGCAUUAGUAAGAAAUACUCAAUGGAACUUACUCCCAGGAUCAGACACUGUUACGAGAGGAUGGUCUAAGAUUGAGUUCUUAAACUGUGAAUCAAAAUUUCCUGGAACUCGGACAGAGUUCUACUACUCCCAAGUGUCAAGUUUCCUUGGGACAAAACGAACAGAAUCACACACUCUGAUACCAAUGAGAACUCAGCAAACAAAGCCAGAGGAAGAAGCUACUCAGUUUCUGUUAAGUUAAUGUCUAGAGCAUGCAGGUUGGUCCUAUUCUUAGGUAUUUGCUCAAGUGUGAGAAACAGCAGAAGCGCUCCUGCAGAAACUCCAAUAUAUCACACUUUAUCCUGCCAAAGAGAGACAGCAGGCACGGGAUUAGUACAUGUUUAGAAGGAGAGAUUCCUCCCAAUUGAAAAGGUCUGAAGAAAACAAUGGUGUAAAAUUAUUAUAUUAAAAUGUGUAUCAGGUU